GAACACCACAGAUGAACCCCAAAUGAUAACAACCAUCACGAAUGAACCCCAAAGGUGAACCCCAAGUGAACCCCAAAUGAAUGACAAUCGUCAUAAAUGAACCCCAAAUGACACAGGUAAACCCCAAUAUGAAUCCCAAGUAAUAACAGAAGAAACCCCCAAGGUAUGAACAUACCACACAUGUCCACGCUGAACACACGGGUACUCACACCAAAUAAAGAAAAAGGUGAACA
RNAcentral lists this long non-coding RNA (233 nucleotides) under Lathyrus oleraceus (garden pea). Its description in RNAcentral is "Pisum sativum (pea) long non-coding RNA (PSAT_LNC031138)". The record is from RNAcentral. Lineage: Eukaryota; Viridiplantae; Streptophyta; Magnoliopsida; Fabales; Fabaceae.